RNAcentral lists this long non-coding RNA (8407 nucleotides) under Arabidopsis thaliana (thale cress). Its description in RNAcentral is "long non-coding RNA (ATHA_LNC000570)". The record is from RNAcentral. Lineage: Eukaryota; Viridiplantae; Streptophyta; Magnoliopsida; Brassicales; Brassicaceae.
GUAAAUCCCACUUUCAGUCUAAUCAUGUAGGAAAAACCUAAAACUGUUCUCUUUUAUAUUAAAGAUAGACUGGUUUUGUGUUGGAACCCUUAUGUGUACCUAGUCUGAGAUAAUCUAAGCUGACUUUAUCAUCCGAGUUUCAUUGAUAAAACUUCCUAGGGCAUUUAGUUCAGUUCUUUGGUUUUUUUCUUUCUUCUGUUUAUGGUUUGGUUAGGUAUUAGGUAAAAAACGUUUAUGAAAUGUUAACUUCAUGAAUGUUAAACGUAUUUCUGAUAUAUAUUUAAUUUAGAAUAGUAUUUUUGAAGAAUUUCCAAUCAUUUUAUUUGGUUGCACUAAGUUUUAUCUUAGUUUGGUUUGGUAUAAGGCUACUAUUAUGGUUUCGCUUGAAAGAAAGUUUGGUGUGGUGUGGUUUUAACGUCCACCCAUGAAGUACUUCACUUAUGUGAUUAGCUUUGAAUGGCUCUGCUUGACACAUCUCUGAUUCUUACAAGUUUUAUGUUGUGUUGCAGCCUAGAGAUAAGUAUGGAAACCAAUGGGUUGAUCCGUACUAUGGAGGACAGUUUUACAAUGGGUAUGGAUACAUGGUACCUCAACCUGACCCGAGAAUGUAUCCCGCUGCACCUUACUAUCCAAUGUACGGUGGUCAUCAGCAACAAGUUAGCUGAGGAAACUAAAAGCUUAAUCUGAGCAUCUAUCUAUAGGACAACAAAAACUCACUCAGGUUAGGUGAUGUUAGGAAGAACAAGGCAAAAAUUGUUGGCUUCUUGUCUCUCCUUGAGUUUAGGGUUUAUCAUCUAGUGGACAUCGAAUUUUUGGUGGAAACCAUACAGUAAUUUAGGGGACUUGGAUUUGAUUGAUUAAUUUUAUUUGUUUCUUCUGAUACUUUUGACUAUGGAAGUUAUUGAUCAAGAAGAAGUGAGUUGCACCAAUUGAUUAUAUCUAUUUUUUGUUAUUAGUCUAAAUACUUAGGUUUUAUUUUGUUGUUGUGUUUGGAGGUAGUUAUCGCCAUCAGGCCACAGCUAAUAAUGAUCCUCAAGUUAGCUUUUAUAUCCUUUAUUAUUUUUAAGGUCUCAAAGCCUCUUUCGACUGUCUCAAUUAGGAGGCGUAUAAACUUAGCUAUUUUGUAUUGGUGGUACACACAUAGUAUUAGAAUAGCUAGAACCUAGAAAGAUCAGAACUUGCAAUGGAAAAGUUGGGCACAAUCCUUAGUAUCACCGCAUAGUUUUAAUACAAUGUCGUCGUAAAUCACAUCCAAUCAAUAAUGAUUCUACGUAAAACCUUUUAUAUAUCUCAGACAUAGAACAUAGUGAAGUAGUAUAUCUUAUACUUUGAAGAAGGAGAAAUCCGAAAAGGCCUGAAAGGCUGGAACAAUGAGAAAUUUUAGGACAGAAAAUUAAACAUUCUGUACAUUAUACAUUAUUUAACAUUUUUAUACAAAGAGUUAUGCAUAUAACAAAUAUAAAUGUUUAAAACCGAUAUUUAAUUUGUGUAAUGCGCCGGCAAAAAAAAAUAAAAAAUUGUGUAAUGUAGAUGUCUAUUGGUUCACACCUACAUCAAGUGCCGAAAGAGGAACAUAAAUCCUUUUCCCUCAACCGUAUCUAAUUAGGUGCUUAAUUUGGUACGUAGUUUUGUUAUAUUUGGUUUGUAGUUUGUUUUUUUUUAUUUGUUUUCUCUAUAAAAAAAAUAUUAUUAAUUUUUUAUAAUGAGUUGGAAUAAGGUGAAUUACACGUAUCAAAAAACGAUAUCGGAAAACAAAACAGAAUCAGAAAAAGGGCUCGAAUCUUGGUAUACCAUCGAAAAGAAACAGCUGUUCAUGAGUUCCGGCGGAUGCAAGGUCCACAACUUCACGAGAGAAUCAAGAGACCGAAAAAAAGCGACGAAAGCAAUCGGUUUCCCUGCUUCCGUGUUAGAAUAUUGAGAGAAAAAGAAAAGACAGAGUAAGAGAUAAAUAUAUAUUCUCUUGUAAAGAAAACAAGAACGAAAAUAGAAAACUUUUAAUGAAUCUGAAACUUGUUAGUUAUUUACAUGACGAUACAAUGAAUAUAUAUAUAUAGAAAACAAGUAGACACAACAACACAAUGAGUUUUGUCUCUUCCUACUUGUGGAUCUCCUGACAUAUAACUAUCUUAAUACAUAAAACUUUAAUAUAAUCAGAAACUCAAUUAUCGACCAACAUUCCCCCUUAAUUGAGUUUCUGAUUUACUUCAAACUUCUUCCUUUGUUCUUCUCUUUGUUACACAAUUUGAUACUCUUUGUCAAUUUUGUUUCUUCUGCAAGACAAUUGAACUUGUGGCCUUUCUCUUACCACCGGUAUUUCUCCAUGUCUUUGAGGUAAGCAUCUUCUUAUGCUCCAUUUUUUCUCCGAGGUAAGCAUCCUCUUACUCUCCAUUUUUUCUUUGAGGUAAGAAUCCUCUUGUGCUCCAUUUUUCACUGAGGUAAGCAUCCUCUUAUGCUCCAUUUCUCUUUGAGAAAAGCAUCCUUUUGUGCUCCAUUUUUCUCGGAGGUUAACAUCCUCUUAUGCUCCAUUUUUUUUUUGAGGUAAGCAUCCUCUUGUGCUUCAUUUUUUUUCCGAGGUAUGUAUCUGUUAUGCUCCCAUUUUUCUCUAAGGUAAACAUCCUCUCUUGCUCCAUUUUUCUCUGAGGUAAGCGUCCUCUUAUGCACCAUUUUUUCUAUGAGUUAAGCAUCCUCCUUUCUUGCUUGGUGUUUCUCUUUGAUCACAAUCACGUCUUUGUGACGUCUCUUCUUCGAUUAACCUUUUUGCUGAGUAGCCUUGCACUAUUCUUCCAACAGAAACUUACUCCGUGUUGUAGUCUUCUUCACAACUCAACCACACCUUUUGUUAGUAAGCUGAUACGUUCAUGAGAAGAAGCUGGAGUAAUGAGUUGGGACGUGAGAACACACGUGAGAGAUUGGAGUCACGUGUGAAGAAACUUAUAAAUAGUAAGAGAGAGUAGAGAGAAAAGUAUCCUGCGUGAUCAUUGAUGUGUAAAGAGGAUUAAAGCUUUGUGUGCUCUGUUCUUUGGAGAUAAGAGUGGAGAACUGUAACUCCAAGCUUAUCAAUUUAGGGUUUUGAUUCAUUGUAAUGGGAUUUUAAGGAUAAGAAAGAGAGAUUCAUAGUUUCAUUCUUAUCAUAAGCCUUGCUCUGUUUCUUACAACAGGCGACUUCCUUCUCCGUCUUGUUUCAGUUGGAUUCUCAACUUCAUCAAGUGAUGCUUCUUUGCAUGCUUGAACUUCACCAAGACAUUGUUGAACAAAGUUUCAGAAUUCUCCUUCCACAACUCCAAAUCCUCAUCCAUUUCUCCCUUGCCUUUAGAGAAGCUUUCCUAUCUUCUUCAUCCCUUUUUGGAGCCUUCCUCUUGAAGGUACGAUAUGUGAAACUGUUUGUAAUUGAUUGUACUCUCUCCUAUUCUUUUCUUCCUUUUUUUGUUUCUUCUUCUUCUACUUUUUAUUUUUCUUUUUUUCUCUUCGGUUUCUCACCGUUGAUUUGUUGUCUCCUUCUUUCUCUUCUUCUCACAGCGGAAUUCUUGUUAUCCAUUUUUUACUUGGACAUGCUCCAAGACCAAGAUAAGCUUUGAUACCAUGUUGGAAUAUUGAGAGAAAAAGAAAAAAUUGAGUAAGAGAUAAAUAUCUCUUCUCUUGUGAAGAAGACAAGAACGAAAAUAGAAAACUUUUAAUGAACCUGAAACUUAUUAGUUAUUUACAUGACGAUACAAUGAGUAUAUAUAGGAAACAAGUAGACUCAACAACACAAUGAGUUGUGUCUCUUCAUACUUGUGUCUCUUCCUACUUGUGUCUCUUGACAAAUAACUACCUUAAUACAUAAAAUUUUAAAUCAGAAACUCAAUUAUCGACCAACACUCUGACCCACCAAUCCAGUACAAACCUCCGAAAAGGAGUAGCUAUUCGACAACCGACGUGUCCGUCUUCCAAUCUCGUUCCUAGCAACCAGACGAACUCAGAUUUAUCCUCUUUUUCUCCGAUCCGAUUAGGAGGAAGCGAAUUGUGGGAGAAACCAAGGUUGAUGGCUCAAGCAAGUACUGAGAAUCCAAAAUCCACAAAAGCUUUCUAAAAUCAAAGUGGAUCUACAAUUAACCUCCAUGACGAGUAGUAGUGAAAGCAAGAUUUUUUGGUUGUUUGGAGAUAGUUUCUAAUGAUCUAUAUUAACAUUUUAGAAAUACAUUUUAAGGAAUCCAAUCGGGUGAGUUGGAUCUUGCCUAAUUUCUACAAAAACAGAAGAUACUUACUAUAAAUUAAUGAUAGUUCAAAAUCAAAGUGUAAUAUUUAGUUUGUCUUUCAAUAAGUUUUAAUCAGUUAGAAUAAAUUUUUAAAUUGACUCGAAUUACAUAUAUUUUAAAUAAAAAUAUUAUUAUAAAAAAGAACAAAAUGAUGUUUAGUUAUUAUGGGAUGGGUUAUUAUUGUGAGAUAGGUUUAGAUGAGACAUGUUUUUAAGACGGGAUGGAUUUAGAUGAGACAGUUUUUUUUUUUUUUUUUUAACAUCUUCUUUUCCAUUGUUAUUAUGAUCAAAAGUUUUCCAGCUGUAAGGCUGAAGAAAUUACAAUCGGAAUGUAAUCAUAAAAUUUAAAUUGUUCAUUCUGGGGUAAGUGACUCUUGGCAAGAAUAUCCGCCGGUUUGUUCUGUUUUCGGUUGAUCCAUGUGAAUCUGCAUUCCUGAAACCGUUGCUUCCAAGCUUGAACAUCUCUUAUCCAAUUAAAGGUAUCAAAACGUGAUUUUCUCCUAUUGAGGAUUUCCAUCACCUCCCUGUUAUCUCCUUCAAACCAGAUUUUUCUAUGACCGUGGCUCCAACAGCUUUGCAUUGCGAUAAGAAGAGCUUGAAACUCGCUUUCUAGAGCAUUAGAAGUGUGGUUCCCUGUCGCUUGACCUGCACCUACAAAUUGGCCCGACUCAUCUCGAAUUACCCAUCCAGCCUUACUUGGCAUCUCCCGAUUGUACGAUCCAUCAUAGUACAACAACAACUUAACAAACUAUCUGCAACAACUCCCGCUAUGGAUCUUUUGGCGCUUAUGGAAGAGUCGAAAUAUUCUAACUUUUCAGAAAAGGUGCAUUCCAUGGGACGAUAAUCUUCGAUUAGCAAAGAGAGACGCUUCUGAAUGGCAGGACAUUGCGGAUCACCCCCAACUAUCAGCACCAUCCCACCGGCGACAACAUGAUGAUCAGAGAACAAGCUGUUGGACAAGACCACCCCACGGCUGAAAGAAGGAGACAGGUUUAUAUGGCGGGAUGAGUUUUGAUCGAUAUUAAUAUGAGACAUCUCAAUAAAAUUCAAUAUUAUAGUAUAUCAAAAUAAAUGCUAAUCUUUUUUGACACAUCUAAAUGUGUAUUUGUAAUACAAAGUUACUAAAUUACGUAUGUUCUACGAGUUAAAUCUAAAAGCAUCGAAAAUUUAAAUUAUAUAAUUUUAAUACAAAAUUAAUAAAUAGAAAAUAAAAUAUUGUCAUGUGGUAUACUUUUGGUCAAGUCCUAAAAAAUAAAAAAAUAUGAAACUUAUUAAUAUCGUAAACUUACGACUCAUUAAAAACCAUACACAAACUUAUCAAAAAUUAUUAACCAACACAAAUAACCAUAAUCUAAUAUAUAACAAAUUCUAAUUUUAUAAAAAUUAAAAAAUAAAUAAAAUAUUUAACAUGCAGUGUAUUUCAGAUUAUAUCCUAAUUUGUUAUCAAUAGACGAAGAAAUUGUUAUGUUUCAAAAAAAAAUCUUUAGCAAAUAAAAAAAGGAAGCUGAAAAAUAAGUUAGAAGUCCAAAUUAAUAAGCCGGUUGCAUGAAAAAAGAAGUCAGAAAAAAAGGAAAGUACAACAUCGGAGAGAAUCUAAAAACAAACACUCAUAAUAGCAGUAUAUAACAAACAAACAAAAAAAAAAAAAAACGGUUAAGAUCUAAACUCUCUCCGUACAAUCCAACGGUUGUCACUAAACUAGGAUGGCUUUAAACCUAGUAACUCACAUAAACCCAAAAACCGGACCCGUAUUUGCCAGUUACCACCGAAACCGAAUCAAAAACCCUUAAUUUCGACCUAAACUUUGCCAUAUUAAUACAACUCUCAAAACACAACUCUCAAAACUUCCCCUGUUUGGUCCGAAACCGAAACUACUAACCCUAAUCUCUCACAUCACAUAAACAAUCACUUCACAUAGCCGCAAAAUUUAAUGGCAGACGUCAAGGUUCAAUCCGAAUCCGAAUCCUCGGAUUCUCAUCCCUUGGUCGACUAUCAAUCACUUCCACCUUAUCCUCCGCCGCAUCCACCGGUUGAAGUAGAGGAGAAUCAACCAAAAACAUCUCCGACUCCGCCGCCGCCACACUGGAUGCGUUAUCCACCGGUGUUAAUGCCUCAGAUGAUGUACGCGCCGCCGCCACCGAUGCCGUUCUCACCUUAUCAUCAAUAUCCGAAUCACCACCACUUUCACCAUCAAUCUCGUGGUAAUAAGCAUCAAAACGCUUUUAAUGGUGAGAAUAAAACUAUUUGGGUUGGUGAUUUGCAAAACUGGAUGGAUGAGGCUUAUCUUAAUUCUGCUUUUACUUCCGCCGAAGAGGUUUGCUUCUCUCUCUCUCUCUCUGUCAUUAUUGCAAAACAUUUAUGUAUCUCUUGAUUAGUGUCUUAGAUUGUGUAUUAACAGUUUCUUGAUUCUGUUUCGUUGACUUUUAAUGCUUUGACAUGCCUUUUUCAGUUUCUCUAUGUACUUGUUGGUAAAGUUUGCUCUGUUUUUUUCUUUCUUUGUGAAUUUGGUCUAAAGGUGUGUACUUUAUGUUUAAUGCAGAGAGAGAUUGUUUCGCUGAAGGUGAUUCGUAAUAAGCACAAUGGUUCAUCGGAAGGAUAUGGAUUUGUGGAGUUUGAGUCCCAUGAUGUAGCUGAUAAGGUUUUGCAGGAGUUUAACGGGGCGCCUAUGCCAAAUACUGACCAACCUUUUCGUUUGAACUGGGCUAGUUUUAGCACCGGUGAGAAGCGGUUAGAGAACAAUGGACCUGAUCUCUCUAUAUUUGUUGGGGAUUUGGCGCCAGAUGUUUCGGAUGCUUUGUUGCACGAGACCUUCUCUGAGAAGUAUCCGUCGGUUAAAGCUGCCAAAGUUGUCCUUGAUGCUAAUACUGGUAGAUCAAAGGGGUAUGGGUUUGUGAGGUUUGGAGAUGAGAAUGAAAGGACCAAAGCAAUGACUGAGAUGAAUGGUGUUAAAUGCUCUAGUAGAGCUAUGCGUAUCGGUCCUGCUACCCCAAGGAAAACUAAUGGUUAUCAACAACAAGGUAAGUUCUCUCCAAUGCAAUAUCUUUGUGUAUCUAUGCUCAUGUUAGGUUCUUGGUAUUGCAACAAUAUGUUUUAAGUCUCUUGUGUACAUAACUAUUUGAUGGAUCUGGUAGGUGGAUACAUGCCGAGUGGUGCCUUUACGCGUUCUGAAGGGGACACAAUCAACACAACAGUAAUUUUUUUUUUCAUAGUAUCUUUCAUUUGAUUGUGUGACAAGAGAAGGUUGAUCUUCUUUUUAUUUUAUUUUAAACAUAGAUAUUUGUUGGAGGGCUUGACUCUAGUGUCACUGAUGAAGACUUAAAGCAACCUUUCUCUGAAUUCGGGGAAAUAGUGUCUGUCAAGAUUCCUGUUGGUAAAGGAUGCGGAUUUGUUCAGUUUGUUAACAGGUAACAUAUAAUUGCCUUAUCUAACCAUGGAUUAAGUAGUUUCUCACGGUAAUAGAUUUGAUGUUUUAAACAUUUGGUUGCAGACCAAAUGCAGAGGAGGCUUUGGAAAAACUCAAUGGGACUGUAAUUGGCAAACAAACAGUCCGGCUUUCUUGGGGCCGUAAUCCAGCCAAUAAGCAGGUAAAUCCCACUUUCUAUCUGCAUUAGUGUAGAACAAACGUAUCAAAAUGUUCUCUUUUUUAUAGUAAUGUUCAUAAAAUGUUAAACGCCUUGUGAUACAUAUUUAAUUUAAAAUAUUGUGGUUCAUUUGCUUUGUUUGAUCUUAGUUUGGUUUGGUUAUGGAUUGGUAUAAGACUACUGUUAUGGUUUCUCUUUGAAAGAAAGUUUGGUUUGCUGUGGUUUUUACCCCCUAAAGUACUUCACUUAUGUGAUUAGCUUUGAAUGGCUCUGCUUGACACAUCUCUGAUUCUUACAAGUUUUAUGUUGUGUUGCAGCCUAGAGAUAAGUAUGGAAACCAAUGGGUUGAUCCGUACUAUGGAGGACAGUUUUACAAUGGGUAUGGAUACAUGGUACCUCAACCUGACCCGAGAAUGUAUCCUGCUGCACCUUACUAUCCAAUGUACGGUGGUCAUCAGCAACAAGUUAGCUGAGGAAACUAAAAGCUUAAUCUGAGCAUCUAUCUAUAGGACAACAAAAACUCACUCAGGUUAGGUGAUGUUAGGAGGUAUAAGGCAAAAGUGGUUGGCUUCUUGUCUCUACUUGAGUUUAG